This 77-nucleotide transfer RNA is filed under the name Bifidobacterium bifidum. RNAcentral describes it as "tRNA-Met". It matches the Rfam family "tRNA". From Rfam's summary of the family: Transfer RNA (tRNA) molecules are approximately 80 nucleotides in length. Their secondary structure includes four short double-helical elements and three loops (D, anti-codon, and T loops). The record is from RNAcentral. Lineage: Bacteria; Bacillati; Actinomycetota; Actinomycetes; Bifidobacteriales; Bifidobacteriaceae. RNAcentral also lists the same sequence under 11 other names.
CGCGGGGUGGAGCAGCUCGGUAGCUCGCUGGGCUCAUAACCCAGAGGUCCAAGGUUCAAAUCCUUGCCCCGCUACCA